This 337-nucleotide ribosomal RNA is filed under the name Escherichia coli. RNAcentral's name for it is "bacterial SSU rRNA". It matches the Rfam family "Bacterial small subunit ribosomal RNA", at positions 1 to 334 of the family's 1533-position model. The record is from RNAcentral. Lineage: Bacteria; Pseudomonadati; Pseudomonadota; Gammaproteobacteria; Enterobacterales; Enterobacteriaceae.
AAAUUGAAGAGUUUGAUCAUGGCUCAGAUUGAACGCUGGCGGCAGGCCUAACACAUGCAAGUCGAACGGUAACAGAAAGCAGCUUGCUGCUUUGCUGACGAGUGGCGGACGGGUGAGUAAUGUCUGGGAAACUGCCUGAUGGAGGGGGAUAACUACUGGAAACGGUAGCUAAUACCGCAUAACGUCGCAAGACCAAAGAGGGGGACCUUCGGGCCUCUUGCCAUCGGAUGUGCCCAGAUGGGAUUAGCUUGUUGGUGGGGUAACGGCUCACCAAGGCGACGAUCCCUAGCUGGUCUGAGAGGAUGACCAGCCACACUGGAACUGAGACACGGUCCAG